Molecule: ribosomal RNA, 210 nt
Filed under: uncultured Syntrophaceae bacterium
Lineage: Bacteria; Pseudomonadati; Thermodesulfobacteriota; Syntrophia; Syntrophales; Syntrophaceae
Description: partial 16S ribosomal RNA
Rfam family: Bacterial small subunit ribosomal RNA
Source: RNAcentral
CGUGUAGGCGGCUUGACAAGUCAGAUGUGAAAUCCCUGGGCUUAACCCAGGAAGUGCAUUUGAAACUGUCUGGCUCGAGUAAGGGAGAGGAAAGUGGAAUUCCUGGUGUAGAGGUGAAAUUCGUAGAUAUCAGGAGGAACACCGGUGGCGAAGGCGACUUUCUGGCCCCUAUACUGACGCUGAGACGCGAAAGCGUGGGGUAGCAAACAG